CCCUUAGAUGUCCUGGGCUGCACGCGCGCUACACUGAUGUCCAGUAAGCACCUAACCUCUUCCGAAAGGAACGGGUAACCUUUGCAAAGCACAUCGUGAUGGGGAUAGAUUAUUGCAAUUAUUAGUCUUGAACGAGGAAUUCCUAGUAAGCACAAGUCAUCAGCUUGUGUUGAUUACGUCCCUGCCCUUUGUACACACCGCCCGUCGCUCCUACCGAUUGAAUGUUCCGGUGAGCUCUUCGGACUGCGCGGUCUGCAGUUUCUGCGUUCCGUGCGGAAAGUUGCGCAAACCUUAACAUUUAGAGGAAGGAGAAGUCGUAACA
This 322-nucleotide ribosomal RNA is filed under the name uncultured eukaryote. Its description in RNAcentral is "partial 18S ribosomal RNA". It matches the Rfam family "Eukaryotic small subunit ribosomal RNA", at positions 1470 to 1796 of the family's 1831-position model. The record is from RNAcentral.